Molecule: ribosomal RNA, 425 nt
Filed under: uncultured bacterium
Lineage: Bacteria
Description: bacterial SSU rRNA
Rfam family: Bacterial small subunit ribosomal RNA
Source: RNAcentral
UCGAGAAUCUUCGGCAAUGGGCGCAAGCCUGACCGAGCGACGCCGCGUGCGAGAUGAAGGCCUUCGGGUUGUAAAUCGCUGUCAGUGGGGAGGAAAUGCCGGUGGGUUCUCCCACCGGUUUGACCUAUCCUCAGAGGAAGGACGGGCUAAGUUCGUGCCAGCAGCCGCGGUAAGACGAACCGUCCAAACGUUAUUCGGAAUCACUGGGCUUAAAGGGUGCGUAGGCGGUCCGGGAAGUUGGGUGUGAAAACCCUCGGCUCAACCGAGGAAUUGCGCCCAAAACUGCCGGGCUUGAGGGAGACAUAGGUGAGCGGAACUUAGGGUGGAGCGGUGAAAUGCGUUGAGAUCCUAAGGAACACCAGUAGCGAAAGCGGCUCACUGGGUCUCUUCUGACGCUGAAGCACGAAAGCUAGGGGAGCGAAGAG